GACAGAGGGUGCAAACGUUGCUCGGAAUCAUUGGGCGUAAAGGGUGCGUAGGCGGCGCGGUAAGUCGGGUGUGAAAUCUCGGAGCUUAACUCCGAAACUGCAUUCGAUACUGCCGUGCUUGAGGACUGGAGAGGAGACUGGAAUUUACGGUGUAGCGGUGAAAUGCGUAGAUAUCGUAAGGAAGACCAGUGGCGAAGGCGGGUCUCUGGACAACAACUGACACUGAGGCACGAAAGCGUGGGGAGCAAACAGG
This 253-nucleotide ribosomal RNA is filed under the name uncultured bacterium. Its description in RNAcentral is "partial 16S ribosomal RNA". It matches the Rfam family "Bacterial small subunit ribosomal RNA", at positions 524 to 776 of the family's 1533-position model. The record is from RNAcentral.